Molecule: ribosomal RNA, 245 nt
Filed under: uncultured bacterium
Lineage: Bacteria
Description: partial 16S ribosomal RNA
Rfam family: Bacterial small subunit ribosomal RNA
Source: RNAcentral
UACGGAGGAUGCAAGCGUUAUCCGGAAUGAUUGGGCGUAAAGCGUCCGCAGGUGGUUAUGUAAGUCUGCUGUUAAAGAGUCAUGCUCAACAUGAUAAGGGCAGUGGAAACUACAAGACUAGAGUGCGUUCGGGGCAGAGGGAAUUCCUGGUGUAGCGGUGAAAUGCGUAGAGAUCAGGAAGAACACCGGUGGCGAAAGCGCUCUGCUAGGCCGCAACUGACACUGAGGGACGAAAGCUAGGGGAG